GAUGAAGAACGUAGCGAAAUGCGAUAAGUAAUGUGAAUUGCAGAAUUCAGUGAAUCAUCGAAUCUUUGAACGCACCUUGCGCCUUUUGGUAUUCCGAAAGGCACACCUGUUUGAGCGUCAUGAAUACCUCAAUCUCCAUCUUUUCUUCGGAUUGAUGGGUGACUUGGAUGUUGAGCCCUGCUGGUAUGCUAUAUCAGCUGGCUUUAAACUUAUUAGCCGGCUCUGUACUGGAUCGGUUUGACUCGACGUGAUAAUAUUAUCGUUGAGGAUGCAUGUCUCAUGCAGCCGGAAACUAUCAAAGCAGCUUCUAGCUUGCCUUUAGUGCACUUUUACAUUUUAGACCUCAGAUCAGGUGGGACUACCCGCUGAACUUAAGCAUAUCAAUAAGCGGAGGA
Molecule: unclassified non-coding RNA, 395 nt
Filed under: soil metagenome
Description: partial contains 5.8S ribosomal RNA, internal transcribed spacer 2, and large subunit ribosomal RNA
Rfam family: 5.8S ribosomal RNA (bases 1-120)
Source: RNAcentral